CGGCCGCAUCACGUUGAAACACUGGUUCCCCUACGAUCACCGAAAUUAAGCAACGUCAAAUUUGGUCAGUGUCUAGAUGGGUGACCGCUUGGGAAUACUAGGUGCUGUAA
Non-coding RNA from Acanthosepion pharaonis, 110 nucleotides. Lineage: Eukaryota; Metazoa; Mollusca; Cephalopoda; Sepiida; Sepiidae. The record is from the annotation of a GenBank genome assembly.